This 230-nucleotide unclassified non-coding RNA is filed under the name uncultured bacterium. RNAcentral describes it as "16S-23S intergenic spacer". The record is from RNAcentral.
UCUAGGGAUCCCGGAGCUCUUACUCCGGUGGCGGCCGGCUCGUCGAUGGCUCGACUCGAGUCGUCCGAUGUCCGGUCUCGCCUAGAUCAACGUCGACCUCGACGUGUGCAAGUGCGUCUCGCUGCUGAGUUUUGAGAGACCGGGCCAGGAGUGGCGCGGUGCUUCCCGUUGGGCGAGCGGAGCUCGCGUGCACCUUGAAAACUCCAUAGUUGCGAAAUGUGUGUUCUUCA